GUUUCCUCCCUUCAGACAAACACUGUUUCCCAGAAUGCACCAGUGAAUCAAACGAUUCCUCUUGAUGUUUGACAUCAUUUGGACUCUGCACUUCAGUGGCUGCACACUGAUGCACAACUUCACUAGAGGCCAGUUGAACGUCAGUGAAGCUCUUUACCAUCACCUUCCUCUUCCUCCUCGCACUCAACCAUGUGUUCACUAGGCUCUGGCUCGUCCUCUGGCUCCUCCCACUCCUCUAAUUUUUCCUCUUUCGUCUCUGGUUCCUCCUCUUCCUCCUCCAUAUCCUGCAGCUGUGACUCUACUCAUGAGCGUCGUGAUGCGAUUGAUGUGUUCAUGCUGCAUCUGUGGUUGGUGCCAUUAUUCAGCAUGGAUUUGGGUGUGGAAGAUCUGAGGCCCAUGAAGCUGCGAGCUAGUGGACUGCUAGCCAAAACAGGUUUCUCCACCUCUUCUUCUUCUUCAUGCCCCUCUUCCUCACCAUCAUAGAUGACUCGCAGUUUUUUCUUCUUGGUGGGGCAGAGCAAGGACUUGUCUGCUGCAGUGAAAUAUACUGAUUUCUGCCUACCACUAUCAUUGUUGGGUGUGGGGUCAGAUUCAUCUAUAGCUCCAAUGGCAGAGGUUUAGAUGCAUCAGCAUCAAACUCGAUGCAGGCUUUUGAAUCAAAGUCCACCUCUGAUAAUGCUUUUGGUAUGUUUGACUCAAUUCCCAACAGAACUACAGAUUAAUCUGAUUGCAUGAAAGGAGAAAUGUGCAAGGUCUGAUUUGAGUGAGUGUGUAUGAUCGGAUUUCUCCUCUAUGAUUAAACGCUCCUCAUCAUUUAUGCUCUUAAACACUUGUCCAAAAUAACUGUCCUGUCACCUGUGUAGAUAAAUCCAUCACAUGCUCAUCCUUCACCUCCAUCCCUCCAUCCAUGCUCAUCAUCUCCAGCUCGUCCGAUCCUGAUUGGGUGAGAUCCACCACGGCAGGUGGGCUGAGGUUAUGGCAGGGUGGCGUGGUUUUGACAUCAUCCAUCGUCGUGUGUUGGUCUGGGCCCUGUUGCCAUGACAGCGGGAGCCAACUGGGUCCUGAGUUCUGAUUAACGCUGUCCAUCAUGAGGCUGUGCAGCUGUGACUCGGCCUGGACCAGGUCCUGCGCUUUCUGCACACGCUGGUCACUGUAAAUACAACACAUACAAAUACAACAGCACGGCACACUCCUGACUUCAAAAAAGAAAUUGCAAGCAUUCUAGCAAAAACUUUCAAAAACAAUUCCUCUAUUGAGAACUGCCCUCCUGCUUUCUGGACUUUUCUUACUCAGCAAGAAAAAGAAAAGAGAAACUUCGGCUCCGGUACAACCGACCUUUUACUACGCAUAGAACAUCCCUAUUUGAGGAAGAGUAAGAAAACAUAUAGUUAAAAGUAAAAAUACUAAAGUGUACCGUAACCCUAAAGCUGAUUGUUUGGUGGGGAGGUGUGUCUGAUUGCUUAUUCGGAAACAAUCUGAGACGCUGUGACAUUUAUUUCUUCUGGUUUAGUCAAAUUCAGAUUAAUGUUGUUUACAACACAGACAGCAGAAAAUCCAGGUGGAGGAGUUUCAGUUUCUGACACUGUGGUCUCAAUAUCUUUAGAACGAGGAACUGAACUCUCCAUACCUCCUGAACCACACCCUGAUCACAAGCACUUGGUGCUAAUGGGCUAGGGGUUAGGCUUUUGGAGUUAAGGGGUUAGGGGUAGAGAAUAUGAGUUAGGCAGUAGGAAAUGACCUCUGUUACACUGUUGGUAGACUUGAAAUGUGGAGUUUGUGGAAUAUCAGUAAGACUGUAAUUCCCAGAAUGCACUGCAUGAGAUGAGAGUGAGGAGGGUACAGGAUUCUCUGCAGUGCCAGUGUACACCUCAGAGCUCUGGACUAGAAACUUUACAUUCUGAAACCCUGCAAGACAGAAUUGUGUCCAUAGCACAUUAUCAGUCUUACCCUGUGUGUGUCUGUCUGUCUGUCUGUCUGUGUGGUCACUUCUUCCAUAAGGCAUAUGUUGAGCCAUGGCUGAUGGAUCACAGGACCUGCCCGAUGUACGUGUGACAUCCUCAAAUCCCUCAGAGUAGAGGUGAGGUGUGUGCGUAAAUGGAUUCAUGAGAGUUUCUCAUCUCUCUAGAGACGGAUGUUAAGGAGCAGCACAUGUAGAUGGUCACUUCUGCUUUGCAUUCGUUUCCCAGCAGCACUGAGUACUUUCACACACACUGUGACUCAGUCUCCAGCAUACACCCCAACUCCGAGUCUCUCACACAGCGAUGCUGCCUUUUCUGGAUAUGAAUCUCUGCAUGCAACAGAGCAGCUGGGUCCUGCUGACCACACACAUGAAGGUGAGAAGUGCGCGUGCACACACACACUGUAUUUCAGCCUGCCUUGCUGAAUUCCAGAAGCUGCUGCUAAUAAGCUAGUUUGUUCACUGUGUGUGUGUGUGUGUGGGGGGGGGGGUAUUAUUUUGGAAGCACACACCUGUAUUUGGACUAAACAUACUAGCAUGACCACAAAAAGAUUCAAGAUUGUGGCUCAACUGACGAGAGGCCAUAAGGUUUGUGAGAACGCUGAUAUUCUUGUCCUGGGUUCGAUGGAAACAUGGUGUCAGGACGUGCGCUGGUCUGUCAAUACAGUUCCCUCUGAAGCCCAGGAUUUGUUUUUACUAUACACUGAAGACAUUUGGGUUUGAGAUAUGUCGGUCAUUUUUAGGACAUUCCAAACAUGUUCCAAUAUUUUUGAUCAUUUGAAAAAUGGGUAGGUUUAAACACAAGGUGCCAUAUUUUAAGUUGUUUGAAUUUAAUUUCCUAAUAUUUACAUCUAAAUUUGUUAAUCAACUCCUAUUCAUCGUUUGAUCUCGAGCCCAAAUGUUUCCAGUAUAUAGCAAACCAAAAUAAUUGUCCUUGCUGUUCUAAUACUUUUCUCCAUAUAAUGGGAAUAGCUCAGCAGCGGUGUUCUUCACAGUGGCUGACAGUUUUUGGUCUUGGUCUUGUCACUGAGUUGACCUGUGGAGAUCCAGGGCAGGUUUCAUGGUGAUUUUCUCUGGCAGGUGGGGCAUCUUCAAGUUACUUGGUUACAGUUAUAUUUCUAUAGCACUUUUCUAGACACUCAAAGUGCUUUACACUGGGAGGAGACCACUAGUGUGUAUCCUCCACCUGGAUGAUGGGACAGCAGUCAUAGUGCUCCAGAACUCCCACCACACACCAGCUAUUAGUGGAGAGGAGAGAGUGAUGUAGCCAAUUCAGAGAUGGGGAUUAUUAGGGGGUGAUCGAGAAGGCCAAUGAGGGAAUUUGGGCAGGACACUGGGGUUAUACCCCUACUCUUUUUUUUUUAUUUUUAUUUAUUUUUAUUUAUGUUUUAUAUUUUUAAUGACCACAGAGAGUCAGGACCUCAGUUUAAUGUCUCAUCCAAAAGACAGUGCUGUUUAUACAGUAGUGUCCCCGUCACUAUAUUGGGGCAUUAGACCCCACACAGACCACAGGGUGAGCCCACCCUGCUGGUCUCACUAUUACCACUUCCAUCAGCAAGCUUAGUUUUCCCCAGGAGGUCUCCCAGUACUGGCCAGGCUCAACCCUGCUAAUCUUCAGUGGGACGCCAGGCAAGAGCUGUAGGGAGAGAUGGCUCUGGUUAUGUAUUUCUGCAUUCAGUGAUGGACUGGGAACCUGUUUUCUCGUAGCUGCCCUAACUGUUUAGGAGGGCGUGCUCCUCAGUGCAGAGGUACGCUUCCAUAUGGAGGCUCUAUUCAAUGACUGUACCCUGUGCUGUGAUUGGCUUGCAGGUUUGGAGGCAGUGUGUUUGAAGUGCCACUGCACUACGAUAAACCCACCUUUGAGAGUGAAACUCGCAGCUAGGAGACCAGCGAAACACACUGUGACUGUAAACACACACACACGCACAUGCGUACAUGUUCACAUACACUAUACAUACAUUUACAGUCACAGGUUUGGAUUUAAAAAUGCAUUUUAUUUAUUUCUGUGUGUGAGUUAUUUAAUGACCUCAUGCUGUGGUUAAUGGGAGGAAAAUCUCUCUUCUCUUUUAUCUCUGGGGUGUGUGUACUGGAGAAACACACAGUUCACCAGCUCCCUCUGCUGGACAUGUGUUGCAUUACCUCUCUCUUUCUCGCACACACAGUCCGUAUAUACUGAAUUUGCCAUGUGACAGGUGUUCCUGGUUCAGUAUGGGUGGAGCUUAUGUGAAUUUUUUUUCAACUUAAUCAUGUGACAUCCGUUAGCUUUUCUUUCCACUUGUUCAGCUUGAUCAUCUAUUUAAUGCUGUAUAGCGACUGCUGGGUAGGUAACGUUAAUGUUCGCUAUGUUAACUAGUGCUGUGGGUAGGUGACGGGCUAGCACAGCUGAUAUUACUAAACUAUUAUACUGUUUAAUUAUAGGCAGGCUUUUAUGCCCACAAAUACUAAAGAAAUAAAAACAGAAGCUAGUGGUAAUGUUAUACAGUUCAGAUUAUACUUAAGCUCCGCCCUCACUGACUCAGACACGCCUGUCAAUUGGCACAAAAAGCUUGCUAUUCAAAAAAAAAAAAAAAAAAACCUUAAAAUUAUUCUAAUUUUACAAAAUAUCAAAAUGUGUCCUUUUAUGUGUGUGUGCUUCACAAUGUGGCCUUAUUGGUAUCUUCUGUACUCUAUGAACUACUGAUCUGAACUGUUAAAUAAGAGGUGCAAUUUUAAUCAAAUUAUAGUGAUAUGAAAAUGUAAACUGUAAAUAAAGUCUCUUUUUAUCAUGAAUGUGUGUGUCCACUUGAUCCCUUGGCAUGAGCGGGGAUAUUUAUCUAGAGUAUCAGUUACUAUACGAAGUCUGUAGUAACAGCAUUUCUCUGAAGAUGAUUUAAUGGAGCUUGUGUUUAGAGUGUAACUUGUACUUUAGUUUUCUUCAUUUUCCCAAAAUUUAACACCAGAUACUUCACAGUACACGAAUACCACAUGGAGAUACAAACUUUAUAGUUGACGUGAGGGUAACACUGUUUACACAAGGGUAAUAGGGUUGACACUGAGGUAAUGCUGUUUACACAAGGGUAACAGGCUUGACACUGAGGUAACACUGGUUACACAAGGAUAACAGGCUUGACACUGAGGUAACAGGGUUUACGACCUUUAAGUGUAGAGAUCUGAUUAAUUUUAUGUACAUAUGCGUGUUCAUGAAUAAAAAAACGUACUGUCGUGUCUGCUCAACUUUUUUUUGAUGAGGGAUAUGCAAAUUGAGUUUAAAUUCACUAGUCUUACUUAAAUUUCCUAUAUUAACAUGUAGAUUUUAAUUAUAAAUAUAUUUUCUAAUUAUUAUAGUCUCUAUUGUAUCACUGGAACAAUGGCCCAUAUACACUCAGCUAAUCACGUGACAGCGGCACUGUACAUGAAAUCAUGCAGCUACAGGUCAAUAGCUUUAUUAAUGUUCACAUCAAACAUGUAUUAUUGUGUAUGGGGAGGACCGGGUGGGUGUGAGACCCAGUUUCUGUCCCAAUUUCUGUCCCAGUCUGGCCCGGCUCCUUCAGGAACUACUUUAUCUGAUGUGUAUAUCAGCUGCUUAUUUCUUCUUGGCCUUUACACACAGUAAAGGUUUACUGUGCUGCAGUUCUACAUGUCUUUAUUCUUUUGACCAUUAGGGGGUCUCCAAUGUAAACCCUUGAGAAAUUAAACAUUUUCAACACAUCUGUAAUAAAGCUGCAACUUUUGGGGUUUUGAGGGGUUUUUUUUUUUGGAGAGUUUUUUCAGGUUUGGAGGGUUUGAGGGGUUUUUGGACUGUUUUGGCGGGUUUUUUGGGUUUUGAGUUUUUUAGCAUUUCAGAGGGUUUCAGAGGUUUUCUGGUUUUUUUUUAAUUAUUUUUUUAUGGUUUUGGAGGGCAUUGGAGUGUGAUGAUCAUGGUGACAAUGUUGACGAUGUUGAUGACGACGAUGAUGUUGACGAUGAUGAUCAUGAUGACGAUGAUGGUGACGAUGAUGAUGAUGACGAUAGAUGAUGACUAUGACCAUGAUGAUGACAAUGUUGAUGACGUGAUUAUUAUGAUGAUGAAGAUGAUGAUGACGGCGACGAUGAUGAUGAUAACGAUGGUGAUGAUGAUGACGAUGAUAUGACGGCGAUGAUGGUGACGAUGAUGAUGAUGAUGAUGAUUACGAUGAUGGUGACGACGAAGAUGACGAUGAUGGUGAUUAUGAUUACGAUGAUGAGAACGAUGACGAUUAUGAUUACGAUGAUGGUGACAACGAUGAUGACGGUGACUAUGAUGAUGACGGCAAUGAGGGUGACAAUGAUGGCAAUGAUGACAAUGACGACAAUGAUGAUGAUUAUGAGGACGAUGAUGAUGAUGAUGAUGGUGAUAAUGGUGGUGAUGAUGGUGAUGAUGAUCUGAAGUCUUUAUUUUCUCCUACAGCGUGUAUGAAGCAGUGCUGCACGGAGCAGAUGACGGAAUGUCUGGACUGGAUUAUGGCUGAAUCCAUGCUGAGGGAGGUGUUGACUAAAUUAGAGAUGGUGCUGGACCAACAAACCACUGAGCUUGCUUCAACUACAGGUGUUCCAGGUGCAGUCUUUGGAUACUGAUGAAGAUUUACUGCCCUGCAAGAUCUUCCUCAACUGCAUAGUCUGGAGCAAAGGAUGCAACAGAGCCCAGAUUGCAAGCAAAAACUGGUGAGAAUUUUUUUCUUUUUUUGUUAACAAUUGUUUGCACAAUUACACAGCUACUGAGAGUGUUUGUUUUCUCAAGGUGACACACUCGUACUCAAAGCACAACAUUCAACACCACUUUGAUAUGAGGGAACAGUUAUGACCUAAUCUUUGGUAGAGGAGCAAAACAUGGAAAGCACACAGGGCAGGGUAACUGCAGGAGUAGUGAGAAGCACUGACACAGUUAACGAGGCAAUACAUGCUUAUUAAUUAUUUAUAUUUUAUAUUAUUUUAUAUUAUAUUAUUGUUUUAAAAAUCAUCGGUUUCGGGUAAACUGGUUGACGCUUAUUGACAGGGCAGAUGUGCUUGACUGCACCUGGCGCAUAUUGAAGAGGGUGAUUGCUAACUCCCUGGCAAAGAACCUCAAUUGGAGGGGAGUCAAUGGAAAGACUUCACUGGCCACUCUCGAGCUUGGAGAGGUCAUGAUUGAAACCUCUUCACGGCUAAAGCUGCAGAGAUGGAGGUUGAGGGGACCAUGAAGAGGUGGCUCCAGCUGGCAUCAGAUCGAGAGUGCGGGCGCAAGAGAAGACUUUUGAAAACUUUUGCAAAAAGAAGCCCUUUCCAGUAGCGGUUAUAUGAUGUUCCGAUCCAUCUUUUCACACUGAGGACAAUCGAAGGACUCGUACACGACUAUUCCAAAAGGUGCAAACAUUCACUGAUGCUCAAGAAGGUAACAGCAUGCAUUAAGAGCCUGGCUGUAAACGUUGUAAACAGGAUGAUCAUGUAAAUUUUUUUGUCUUCUGGGAUACUUCUUCUAUGCUGUAUUAACCAUCUUUCUGUAAUAGACCUUUUUCACCUCAGAGGACGAGUCUGCAAGUGUUGUCUAAUUUCCACGACACAACUCAGUUUUUACAUUUUUUAAUUUUAUUUU
Molecule: long non-coding RNA, 7523 nt
Organism: Ictalurus furcatus (blue catfish)
Lineage: Eukaryota; Metazoa; Chordata; Actinopteri; Siluriformes; Ictaluridae
Exons: 4
Source: RefSeq, a predicted model, not a curated record